RNAcentral lists this non-coding RNA (28 nucleotides) under Rattus norvegicus (Norway rat). Lineage: Eukaryota; Metazoa; Chordata; Mammalia; Rodentia; Muridae. The record is from RNAcentral.
UAAGGUACUCGGUAACUUCAGUGAAGUU